This 618-nucleotide long non-coding RNA is filed under the name Pan troglodytes (chimpanzee). RNAcentral describes it as "long non-coding RNA NONPTRT008815". Lineage: Eukaryota; Metazoa; Chordata; Mammalia; Primates; Hominidae. The record is from RNAcentral.
CCAUCCUCCAAACGAAACCGUAUGCAAAACCUCAGCUACAAAACAGAUCAGUGGGCUGCCUGCCCGUGUGGGGCAUGGGCUGGGCCCCGAGCUCCCCCUCCAGCACCCAGUACUUCUUCCACAAGGCCCUGUGUGAGCUCAGUUUGAAACCCCAGGCCUUGGCAGGGGUCAGGUGGGCGGGAGCAGGGGGUGGACCUUGUAGCACUGGAGCUAAAGCAGCCAGAUAAGGUGGGCUAGUUCUUAAGACCUCUGGAGGGUGUGGCUAGUCUCUGAGACCUGGACAACUUCAUUCUCCACCAGGGCCUGGCCCCCAUCCCCAUUGAGCUGUCUCAUGCGCAGGUUAAUGGAGCCGUAGGUCUUCCUGGAGCCCUUGCCGGGGACGAAGGUCCUCCGGCGGUACAGCUCGCCCUUGCACAGGGAGACCAUGAGCAGCACCGACAAGAGCAUGCCGCCCACCGUGAGCAGCCCGAGGCCUGCGAUGAUGCACCUGUCCAGGGCCGGAGUUAAGAUGAGUCCAGCGAAGUGCCUAGAGUACCAAAUUCGUGGAGACGUUUCCUCUUUGGGGAACACACGCCAACCCCAGAGACAGCUUUGGUCUGAAUCGUGCAGGUUCCGGGA